AUACGAAGGGGGCAAGCGUUGUUCGGAAUAACUGGGCGUAAAGCGCACGUAGGCGGAAUGUUAAGUUAGAGGUGAAAUCCCAGGGCUCAACCCUGGAACUGCCUUUAAUACUGGCAAUCUAGAGACCUAGAGAGGUGAGUGGAAUUCCGAGUGUAGAGGUGAAAUUCGUAGAUAUUCGGAGGAACACCAGUGGCGAAGGCGGCUCACUGGCUCGGUACUGACGCUGAGGUGCGAAAGCGUGGGGAGCAAACAGGAUUAGAAACCCUAGUAGUCC
This 274-nucleotide ribosomal RNA is filed under the name uncultured bacterium. RNAcentral's name for it is "partial 16S ribosomal RNA". It matches the Rfam family "Bacterial small subunit ribosomal RNA", at positions 523 to 796 of the family's 1533-position model. The record is from RNAcentral.